Paramuricea clavata is the source of this 78-nucleotide non-coding RNA. The record is from the annotation of a GenBank genome assembly. NCBI's taxonomy places the organism in Eukaryota, Metazoa, Cnidaria, Anthozoa, Malacalcyonacea, Plexauridae.
AAUCCUAUAGGAUCCUAUAGGAAUUCCUAUAGGAAAUGGCAUUUCCUAUAGGAAUUCCUAUAGGAUCCUAUAGGAAUA